RNAcentral lists this ribosomal RNA (496 nucleotides) under uncultured bacterium. RNAcentral's name for it is "partial 16S ribosomal RNA". It matches the Rfam family "Bacterial small subunit ribosomal RNA", at positions 30 to 523 of the family's 1533-position model. The record is from RNAcentral.
AUUGAACGCUGGCGGAAUGCUUUACACAUGCAAGUCGAACGGUAGAGGGGGCAACCCCUCGAGAGUGGCGAACGGGUGAGUAAUAUAUCGGAACGUGCCCAGUCGUGGGGGAUAACGUAGCGAAAGUUACGCUAAUACCGCAUACGAUCUAAGGAUGAAAGCGGGGGAUCGCAAGACCUCGCGCGAUUGGAGCGGCCGAUAUCAGAUUAGGUAGUUGGUGGGGUAAAGGCUCACCAAGCCAACGAUCUGUAGCUGGUCUGAGAGGACGACCAGCCACACUGGAACUGAGACACGGUCCAGACGCCUACGGGAGGCAGCCGUGGGGAAUUUUGGACAAUGGACGCAAGUCUGAUCCAGCCAUUCCGCGUGCAGGAUGAAGGCCCUCGGGUUGUAAACUGCUUUUGUACGGAACGAAAAGGUCUCUCUUAAUACGGGGGGCUCAUGACGGUACCGUAAGAAUAAGCACCGGCUAACUACGUGCCAGCCGCCGCAGUAA